Gorilla gorilla gorilla (western lowland gorilla) is the source of this 688-nucleotide non-coding RNA. Lineage: Eukaryota; Metazoa; Chordata; Mammalia; Primates; Hominidae. The record is from the annotation of a RefSeq genome assembly.
AUGCAGUGGGCCCUAGCGGUGCUUCUAGCUUUCCUGUCUCCUGCCAGUCAGAAAUCUUCCAACUUGGAAGGGAGAACAAAGUCAGUCAUCAGGCAGACUGGGUCAUCUGCUGAAAUCACUUGUGAUCUUGAUGGAGGAAGUACCGGCUACAUACACUGGUACCUACACCAGGAGGGGAAGGCCCCACAGCGUCUUCAGUACUAUGACUCCUACAACUCCAAGGUUGUGUUGGAAUCAGGAGUCAGUCCAGGGAAGUAUUAUACUUACACAAGCACAAGGAAGAACUUGAGAUUGAUACUGCGAAAUCUAAUUGAAAAUGACUCUGGGGUCUAUUACUGUGCCACCUGGGACGGGCACAGUGAUUCAGAUCUGCCCUACACCACACUGAAAAUCUGCCUUGUGGCUGCUUCUGGUACACAAGAUAGAGCCGCCCCCUCUCAUUUCCUGCCACCAAAUUUACCGUGUGCUGAACAAGAGAAACAUUGCUUAACUCCUGAUCUCCCCUGCAAUAUUACACUCCCCUGGCAGCAGCUGCACCCUGUUCCCCACCCUCUCCCAGGACUUUCCUGAAGACCGAGCUGCCAUCUCAGCUAAGCCUCAGCGAAGCAGCCUGGCUGAGAGCAAGGUUCUCUUAGCUCUCCUAGGACAUGGGGGAGGCCCACUCACUCUGCUUCCUAGGACAAACGGG